AAAUUCUGCUACCUCCGUUAUGUUCUCAUCACGUAUAUACCAGUCAGCUAAUACCCCCGAAAUCAUUUUCAGCCCCUUGUAACAAAAAAGUGUGUGGGGGUGGUGAAUGUCUAGAAAAAUACAGGGUCAGAAAAGGAAAGUUUUAGUAGCUCCUGGGAAUCACUUCAGGACUCAAGAACAGUAAUUCCUGAGCUUAAAGGUUUUGGUCCUCAGUCACCACAGGGUCAGUAGAUUAGAUGGAAGGAUCCUCUCAGGCAUCUCAGGAAAUAAGCUCCCAACGUGUCAGAGACCAAUUUUCAAAAAGUUAAACACAUGAAUCUCACACACUAGAGUCUAAACUUGAGUCCAAAUGUUAUUCAACUCAUCUUACUGAGGAGACCAGUAAAGUGGUAAAGAAUGCUUUUAAAUAUAGUACUUUUACGGCACCAAGCUGGGGCCAAAGAAGCAAAUUUUCUUUGUUGGACAUAAACAGUUAAUGUUUUAAAAGGUAAUAAAUCUAUAAGCUUUGGAUUUAUCUUCUCCUGUGACAAAAGUCUACAAAUUAACAUUAUUCUAUUUUUAUGAAACACAGUGAAGGACAUCCAGAUUUGGACUCCUCCAUCUUACACUUCCCAUCCAAGCUUUCCUGGAGGGGAAUCUGUCCUCCCUCUGUCAACUCUCUCACCCAGUCUUCACUUCUCACCCUGCUGACAUGUGGCCUCUCCUGUAUUCCUUUCCAGCAGCCUCAGUAGAUCACAUUCAACCGAUGAUCAAGCCCCUUCACCUGAAAAACCAAAGCACAUCUUCUGGGAUUCCUAAGGCACUUGCCCUGCCAGGGUCUCGUAAUUCCUGAAUUCUAAUUUCAUAUUCCUGGUAGUCCACUUCUCCUAGGUCAUGUGAUUUAUCUCCACCUUCCUCUGUUUAUAUCGUUUCAUGGACUUUUCUACAUCUUCACCUAAACCCAAGGACUCUUCACGUCAUUCCCAGGAGCCCUCAGCUCUCAUGUUGCCUCUGAUUCCCUGCUCUCCUAUAAUCUCACCAAUGCUCAUCCCAUCACAGACCCAUGAGUGCAGCAGUGUCCUCUCUGGCCUCCCUGUCUCCAGUGGUGAAGUUGGGGAAGGGUGGCCCUAGGUAUGCCUCCCACCCUAAUGUUCCUACUUCAGGGUAAGCUCCCUGAGCAGGGAUGAGGCUGUCUAGCACAGCCUGGCAUUCCACUGCCAACCACCAGACUCAACACCAGAUUGGAAAACAGCUCCAGAGGAAGGAUAUCGUUUGUUUGAGGUCACCCGGUUUGCGAAGAUGAAGUCAGAGUUUACAGCCCAUGUUGUUCACCGAUGAGUUACGUCACUAACCACGUUCCAAAGUGAUGCUGAUGGAAAGAAUGCUGGUGCUUCAGAGUCCUGGGGCAACCUUGAGAAGCUGCAGAGGAGUGGACGACCACGAGCUGGGGCUUGGUAUUUAUCGCUGGGUGGAUAUGCAAGCUGAGGGGGUUUGGAGAAGAAAGAUGCAGAGAGAAAUGAGCUUGACUGGGGAAAACGAGCAGAGAGGGAGAAGAGAGAGUUGGGGCAGCUGCCAAAAGGAAUGGAAAUCUGGGAAGACAGAGCGACUGGAAGGGGAUUUUGAAGAAGCUUUGCUCUCGGGUGUACUUUGUGAUGGCUAUUCUCUGGCCUCCACUAAACCUUCAGGAAAAUCCCUACUUUUCCUCAAUGCCUUUAGAGGUGGAUCCAGGGUUACUCAUUGUACUGCUCACGGAUGGCAGUGCUUCAUUUUCAUAUUCCCACCUGCCUCAAUACUUGUUAUCCUACUGUUUCAAGAUAGGAAAACCAACUCCUAUCAUAACCCCUAAUGGGUUCUAUCUGGUAUCUCCUACGGGACUUAAGGGUAGUAAUACUCUACAAAAAUCAGUUGGUUUUCUAAUUAACAACAAAGAACAAGAUUAAGAGGAUAUUAAGAAAGCAGUUCCAUUUCCAAAAGCAUCAAAAAUAAUAAAAUAGAAAAGGCUGUAAACUGAAAAAUACAAAUAUUACUGAGAAAAACUAAUUUAAAUAAGUGAAAGGGCAGCCAUGUUCAUGGAUUGGAUGACAAUACUGUGCAGGUAUCCAUCAAUACCACCCACAUCGAUCUCCACAUUCAAUGCCAUCUCAUUCAGUGCUCACCUCCCUCAGGUCAAUCCACAACGUCUCCUGCUCUUCCCUGUGGUUCCUUGGUUGGGAAAGUGCUGGAUAAACAUCUGUUCUUUUGGAUUCAGAUCCUAGACACCUGACACUCAAUAACUCCAUGGAGCUCUUAAAAAAAUCUUGAUUAGGGCCCAGUACAUUACAGUCACAGGCUGUGAGAGUUUUUAGUACAGCAAUGCGAGAAGAGCCCUAAAAUAGGGAGGAGGUUCCAUUGUAGUAAGGUUCCUGUUCUAUCAGCCCUCACACUGAGUAAAACUACAGAACUUGAUUAAAAAUCUAUUUGCUACAUCAAACAGUCAUAUAAAGUCAGGAAUUUAUAUUUAUUUUAAACUAAUAUGCGUAUUAUAAAAUUACAUAUAAAAACAUAAAUAUAUGUAAUGUAUUAUAUGGAGAGAACUUCGUAUGUAAAAUGCAUUAUAAUGUAUGAAAUGCUAUAUAUUGCAUAUUAUGUGUUACAUGUUGCAUAUUAUAUAUGUUGUAUAUUAUAUGUUACAUAGAGAGAGAGAGAAAAAGAAGAGAGGAUGUAGGGCAAUUUCAUUUUCCGAUUCUAGGAAAAUAAUGAAACCCAAACCAUCAGGAACGGUAUCACUUGAGCAGAGCAUAGGUGCAAGUACCAUCCGUGUUAUAUGCAGAAACAUUCACCUUGACCCCAGGGGGCAUCUGGGAUGAGACUAGAUGACUGAAAUCUCUGGGCGAUGGUGAACACAGAAUUGGGGGACAGCAGCUAUGAAGACGCACUGAGCCACAUGCCGGACGCCCCAAGCGCAGAGCGAGCUUGUGAGCUUCUAGAGGUGGAGACUUGACACACUGCGGGAGAGGAAAAUGAAGUUACUGGACCCACUGAAACGGGACUCAUUGAUCCUCUAGCCCAUGGUGGGCAGUGUGCAUCAGCAUGGUCCUUCAGAGUUUUAGAUGCUCCUUCUCUUCAAAUUUCGUGCUCAUCAAAGUACAUAUUUUUCUGCACUGUAUCAAAGAAUCCUUUGUUUAAUAGAAGACACAGAAUAAUUCGGUAUGGACCUUUGUCUGAGGCUGAGUAAUAUUUCUUGGCAUUAUCUUUAUCUAUUCAUCUGUCGAUGGACACUAAGCUGUUUCCAUACCUUGGCUCUUGUGAACAAGGCUGCAGUCAACACAAGAAUGCACAUGUCUCUUUGAGAUUCCGAUGUCAAUUCUGGUGGAUAUAUACCCCAAAGUGGGAUCGCUGGAUUGUGCUGAGUGAAAGAAGCCAGUCACAGAAGGACAAAUAUUGUGUGAUUCCACUUAUGUGAGCUAUCUGAAACGGUUCAACUCACUAUAGUUGACAACACUGCAUUGUGUCAUUGAAAUUUGCGAAGAGAGAACUUAAAUAUGCUUGCAAGAAAAAGAGAGAAAGAGAAGAAAAGAGAAACCUGUGUGGUGACGGAUGUGUUAUUUAUCCUGAUGAGGGGAAUCCUUUCGCAAUGUAUCAAAUCAUGUCAUUGUAAAUAGCUAACACGUUUAUUUGGCAGUGAUGCCCUAUUAAAACUGAAAAAAUACCCCCCAAACCAAAAAAGAAGGAAAAAAUGUCAAACUCACAGAAACAGAGGAGAAUGGUGAUUGCCAGGAGCUGGGGGAAGAGGAAAGAGGGAGCUGCUGUCUGACAGGCACAAAGUUUCAGUCGUGCAAGAUGAAGGCAUCAGAAGAGAUCACAUUCAUGUGCUUAGAGAACGUCACAUGUGCUCUGUGUCCUCCACGUAGGCAGGGCGGGAUGGCUGAAGUGGGCUGGAGUCCCCACAGGGUCUUGGGCUGAGUUUGUGCUGACACAGCCCCGCUCUGUGUCUGAGUCACUGGGACAGAAGGCCACCAUCUCCUGCACCCGCAGCAGUGGCAACAUUGGAAACAGCUACGUGUACUGGUACCAGCAGCACCCGGGCAUUGCCCCCAAGACCGUGAUCUACGAUGAUGACAAAAGACCCUCUGGGGUUGCCAAUUGAUUCUCUGGCUCCAUCGACAGCUC
Long non-coding RNA from Equus caballus (horse), 4128 nucleotides. The record is from Ensembl. NCBI's taxonomy places the organism in Eukaryota, Metazoa, Chordata, Mammalia, Perissodactyla, Equidae.